AGAAUCAACGCUGGCGGCGUGCCUAACACAUGCAAGUCGAACGAGAAAGUGGAGCAAUCCAUGAGUAAAGUGGCGACCGGGUGAGUAACACGUGACUAACCUACCUUCGAGUGGGGGAUAACCUCGGGAAACCGAGGCUAAUACCGCAUAACAUCGUGAGAUCAAAGCAGUAAUGCGCUGGAAGAGGGGGUCGCGGCUGAUUAGCUAGUUGGCGGGGUAAUGGCCCACCAAGGCGAAGAUCGGUAGCCGGCCUGAGAGGGCGCGACGGACCGACGACCUGGAACUGAAACACGGUCCAGACUCCUACGGGAGGCAGCAGUGGGGAAUUUUGCGCAAUGGGGGAAACCCUGACGCAGCAACGCCGCGUGGAGGAUGAAGUCCCUUGGGACGUAAACUCCUUUCGACCAAGACGAUAAUGACGGUACUGGUGGAAGAAGCACCGGCUAACUCUGUGCCAGCAGCCGC
This 465-nucleotide ribosomal RNA is filed under the name uncultured bacterium. Its description in RNAcentral is "SSU rRNA". It matches the Rfam family "Bacterial small subunit ribosomal RNA", at positions 26 to 518 of the family's 1533-position model. The record is from RNAcentral.